This 1693-nucleotide long non-coding RNA is filed under the name Nicotiana benthamiana. Its description in RNAcentral is "long non-coding RNA (NBEN_LNC003139)". The record is from RNAcentral. Lineage: Eukaryota; Viridiplantae; Streptophyta; Magnoliopsida; Solanales; Solanaceae.
UAUGAAGUUCUUAAAGAUGGUUGUAUUUGAAAAUUUUCGCAGGGGCUAAUAUUUAAGGACCAAAUAUGUGAAAAAACUCAUAACCAGGGUAAGGACAAAUAACUACACGCAGAUAACCUUAGCAUCACGAUUGCAUGAUUGGCACAUCUUUCCAGAGUCAAGGGACCACACAUCACCCAGAUUUAUUUUCCCAAUACCUAAACAGAAGGCUUCCUUCUGCCAAUAUAAAUUUACCUACAAUUAUGGCUUGAAUUAAAAUCAAUGGAAGUAAAUAUACAAAUUCAUAAUCAAUUGUUACUUCGCCUACUCCUAUUCACAAACUAAUAACAGAAUUUCGUCAGUAAUAUGCUAUUUUGAUGUGACCAAUUCCUAGUCCGACUUAUUAAUAUGAACUUUACCAAAAAUCAAAUCAUUCUGCACUACUCCUAUCUCUUUUUAAUUUCACAAUAAGUUAUCAGCAUCCACUCAAACUCAAAGCAUAGUCAUUUCCCUUUCCCUAAUUUUUCGGGAAAAAACAAAGCAGAUACAAUUACUAACACAACAUUUUGAACCGUAGCAAAUUUCAAAUUCAAUCCUCAACUAUGUUGGAACUGACAGUUGUUAACUUUUGUUUUUUGGCCACAAAUAUCUAGAACACACUGGCCCGACUAAUCCAUUUCAUUCCACGACUCGAACACAAGACCUAUUGAAAAGAAUGUACCUUGGACCUAACUCAACCCCAAAAGCUAGCUUAUGAGGUGAGGAUUGUCCAAGCCAUAUAAAAUUUAAGUAGCUUUUAAGCAUCAAAUGCUCAAAAUUACUUUUUUAAGUGCUAGAGCUGAAUUUAUAAAUAAGCAGCUACGUGUCUGCAUGGAAGUGCUGAAGUUGGAAAUUUGCAGUUGAUAUGUUUGAUAGAAUAGUGUUGAAACUGUUAAAAUGACUGAAAUGCCCUUGAAGCUAUUAACACUAAAACUGACAUCUUGCCACAUAUUUUAUUCUAAAAUAAUUCAAAUGCAAAUUAGCUUGUGCAGUUAUUUUAAUUAUAAAUUAUAAAUUAUAAAUUAAUUAGAUCAAAUUAUUUUAAUAAAUGUAAACUAGUUAUUUGAAUAAAAUAGAAUAGUAAUAACUAAUAUUUGACCAAAGCAGAGGCCACGGUUCCAUUGGAAAACUGCAUAGAAGGGAGAUAAUAUUGGCUAAUGACAACAUGAAACCUGUUGAACAAAAUAAUAUGGAUCAUGAAGUGGCAACCACCUAUUUUUACACUGCACAGUGGCAAGGCAACUUCAGAGCUUGCUUUUUACCUGUUUGAACUGUCUUUCUUAUGCGUAACACCAUACAGGAACUGAUGACAUGUUGAGGCAAUCGCCAAUCGGCACAUGAAAGCCACUACCUUUGGGGAAUAUGAUGCCAGCUUGCGUAUGUUGGGUGUUGUGGGGUGAAAGGCAUUCCAGGUGCUUAAAUGGGAAGUGAUAAGAAUGGACAUUGGGCCUAACUCACCCCCAAAAGCUAGCUUAUGAGGUGAGGAUUGCUCAAGCCAUAUAAGGAGACCAACGACCUCAAAUCCCUCCGAUGUGGGACAACUCAACACCUAUUGGUAUAGCAGGCAAAGGUGGUAUUCAUAGUUACACGCAACAAACCACUGAAUAUUCUAAAAAAAAGAUACUUUACAGGAUGACUACGCACACGGCGCACAUUAGCAUAAAACAAAAACAAG